Molecule: non-coding RNA, 73 nt
Organism: Sycon ciliatum
Lineage: Eukaryota; Metazoa; Porifera; Calcarea; Leucosolenida; Sycettidae
Source: the annotation of a RefSeq genome assembly
GCCGCCAUGGCUUAGGGGUUAAAGUGCCUGUCUAGUAAACAGGAGACCCCCGGUUCGAAUCCGGGCGGUGGCU